UACGAAGGUCCCAAGCGUUGUUCGGAAUAACUGGGCGUAAAGCGUGUGUAGGCUGCGCGGAAAGUCAAAUGUGAAAGCCCAGGGCUUAACCCUGGAACUGCAUUCGAUACUCCCGUGCUAGAGUAAUGGAGAGGUAAGUGGAAUUCUCGGUGUAGCAGUGAAAUGCGUAGAUAUCGAGAGGAACAUCAAUGGCGAAGGCAACUUACUGGACAUUUACUGACGCUCAGACACGAAGGCUAGGGGAGCGAAA
This 250-nucleotide ribosomal RNA is filed under the name uncultured bacterium. RNAcentral's name for it is "partial 16S ribosomal RNA". It matches the Rfam family "Bacterial small subunit ribosomal RNA", at positions 524 to 773 of the family's 1533-position model. The record is from RNAcentral.